UGGUCCCCUCGCAAUGAUAGAUGGUGAACUCGGCCAGGCCCGGAAGGGAGCAACCGCAGCUAUCGACUCAUGUGCCGAGGUGUGGCUGAUU
RNAcentral lists this signal recognition particle RNA (91 nucleotides) under uncultured Psychrobium sp. RNAcentral's name for it is "Bacterial small signal recognition particle RNA". It matches the Rfam family "Bacterial small signal recognition particle RNA". From Rfam's summary of the family: The signal recognition particle (SRP) is a universally conserved ribonucleoprotein involved in the co-translational targeting of proteins to membranes. Archaeal SRP consists of a 7S RNA and homologues of the eukaryotic SRP19 and SRP54 proteins. Lineage: Bacteria; Pseudomonadati; Pseudomonadota; Gammaproteobacteria; Alteromonadales; Shewanellaceae. The record is from RNAcentral.